AAGUCAUUACUGCUCCAAAGAAGGGAAUCUGAUCAAGUGUAGUGACAGAGAAAUCUAGACCUAUAUGCCAUAGGUCCUACCUUAUAUCUGCAAUUUUUGGAUUAGCUACCUGAUGGGGGAAUAUCUUUGUGUACACUGUGAAUAUGUGUUGCUCUGAUUGGUUGAUAAACAAAGAUAUUUGGCCUAUGGCAAGACAGCUUAGAGGCAGGUGGGAAAUUCAAAGAGGGAGACAGGAACAAGGCGAAAAGAGACACCAGCCGGCACCGAAGAAGAAGCAACAUGCCAACAGACCGCUUUCCUUGCAAACUAUGGCAGAAUUGGGGCACUCCGUACAAAUCUUUGACAUCACCACAUGUGUGUUGAGAAACCAAUUCAAGGAAAUAGGAUCUGCUGUAACUUACCUGAGACUUUCUUCAGCCUCAGAAAAAAGCUGUCAGAGACACAUGGUGUACUAGAAAAAGGAGGGAUUUACCCUCAGGAAUGUCUGUAUCCUAUGGUGAAGAUUUGUGUAUGAAGAUCCCAGCUUCAAUGUCCCUCCAAAGAGGUCUCAUUCUUGCACCAGAUGUCUGUGACUCUCUCAGUCUUGGGCCCAGCUGGAAAGUUCAGGCCAUCUCCCUAGCUCAAGGUUGGUUGCUACUGAUCAUCUCAUCUCAUCUCAUCUCAUCUCAUCUCAUCUCAUCUCAUCUCAUCUCAUCUCAUCUCAUCUCAUCUCAAUCUCAUCAUCUCAUCUUUUCCUUUCCUUCAUAGAAAUCAGAGUGCACAUUAUACCUCUGAUUUAUUCUGUAUGGUCCCUUACAGCUGUGAGUACAUCAGACAUCUCAGGGGGAUGUGUUUAGAAUACUGCUGCUUACUCCUGAUGGUUAGGUUUCACUGUCAAGUUGACUUGAUUUGGAAUCACUGUGGAAACAUACCUUUGGGGGCAUCUGUGAGGGUGUUUUCAGAAAGGACUCACUAGGGAGGGAAAACCCAUACUGAAUAUCAGUGGCACUAUUUCAUCAGCUAUAUCACCUGACUACAUAAAAAUCAUAAAGCAAGCUAAUAUCUGCAUUCAUCUCAACUUCUGAAUGGAGAUCCAAUGGGACAUGUUACCUCAUCUUCCUGGUGCCAUGGUAACCACUCCUCCUUGAGAGAUGAAAUAAACCCUGCCUUGGCUAAGUAACUUUCAUAAGGUAUUUUGUCACAGCAACAAGAAAAGGAAUGAACACACUAAACAGUACCCACUCCUCUGCUGCGAUGGCUCCCACUGCAGUGAGGUUUAUUCUAAAGCUUUGGUUUCUUCUUUGUGCUGAUGGCGUUACAUGCCAUUUCUGGUAAGUGACAAAUUCCAUGAAGUCUCCUGCCUCCUUUACAAUGUCAUGGAGCUGAAGGGUUGGCAGGCAUGACACCAAAGGAGAGGAAACUGAAGAUGUGGGGGAAGGUAGGGGAAUCCUGAAGCCACACACAAUCAGGAUUUAAUUAUCCCAGUAGCUGGG
Peromyscus eremicus (cactus mouse) is the source of this 1472-nucleotide long non-coding RNA. RefSeq lists it as uncharacterized. The transcript has 3 exons. The record is from RefSeq and is a predicted model, not a curated record. NCBI's taxonomy places the organism in Eukaryota, Metazoa, Chordata, Mammalia, Rodentia, Cricetidae.